This 639-nucleotide long non-coding RNA is filed under the name Danio rerio (zebrafish). Its description in RNAcentral is "si:ch211-284e3.2 (ENSDARG00000096138.2)". The record is from RNAcentral. Lineage: Eukaryota; Metazoa; Chordata; Actinopteri; Cypriniformes; Danionidae.
GAAUGCAUAUAGAUGUAGAUAUGGAUGGAUGGAUAGAUAUAUUUAGAUAGGUUAAUGACAAUGGACAUAGAUGUAUCUGUGUAUAUGUACAUGUAUAGAUGUAUAUAUAGGUGAAUACAUUUAGGUAUAGAUAUAUGUAUAUAUAGGUGAAUGCAUAUAGGUAUAGAUAUAUGUAUAUGUAGGUGAAUGCAUAUAGGUAUAGAUAUAUGGAUAUAGAUGGAUGGAUGGAUAAAUAGAAUUAUAUAGGUUGAUAGAAAUUAAUAUAGAUGUAUGGAUAUAGAUGUAGAUAUGGUUGGAUAUAGAUGUUAAUAUAUAUUUAUAUAUGGAUGGAUGCAUAUAGGUAUAGAUAGAUGGAUAUAGAUGGAUGUUGAUAUAAAUGGAUGGUUGUAGAUGGAUAUAUAUAGGUGGAUGGAUGUCAAUAUAGAUGGAUAUAGAUAUAGGGUGGUGGAUGUGGAUAUAGGUGGAUAAAACAGUAUAGUAUAUGUAUUAUAAUUAUCUCCAUGAAAAUCGUUCAUUAUAGAUCAUGACUUGGCAUAAAACAAGCAAACACACGAGUAAAUAAUUAUAAAUAAAUACAUGCUUGAAGUCAAAAUGGUUUGUAUUUGUUAUUUUUUUAUGUUUAGAAGAUUGCUACUUUAU